This 494-nucleotide ribosomal RNA is filed under the name uncultured bacterium. RNAcentral's name for it is "partial 16S ribosomal RNA". It matches the Rfam family "Bacterial small subunit ribosomal RNA", at positions 28 to 507 of the family's 1533-position model. The record is from RNAcentral.
GACGAACGCUGGCGGCGUGCUUAACACAUGCAAGUCGAACGGUGAAGCGCCUUCCUUUUUGGUGGGUGUGGAUGAGUGGCGAACGGGUGAGUAACACGUGAGUAACCUGCCCCCUUCUUCUGGAUAACCGCAUGAAAGUGUGGCUAAUACGGGAUAUUCUGGGUCUGUCGCAUGAUGGGUCUGUGAAAGAUAUUGUUUCGGUGGGGGAUGUGCGCGCGGCCUAUCUGCUUGUUGGUGGGGUGAUGGCCUACCAAGGCGGCGACGAGUAGCCGGCCUGGGAGGGUAGACGGCCACACUAGGGAGGAGACACGGAGAAUGCUACUGGAGGCAGCAGCAGGGAAGAAUGGAAGACAGUGGGAGGAAGGCUGAAGCAACGACGCGGAGGGGGAGAGGGAGUACGGGGGGUGAUGAACCUGUGUCGCGAGUGAAGAACGCCUGCUUCGUAUGUGGAUGGGAUGACGGUAGCUGAAGAAGAAGCACCGGCUAACUCCGUG